AGGAAGUUAGCUCAAUUGGUAGAGCAGUUGACUAUUAAUCAACCUGUAGCAGGUUCGAUUCCUGCACUUUCAACCA
RNAcentral lists this transfer RNA (76 nucleotides) under Anabaena sphaerica FACHB-251. RNAcentral describes it as "tRNA-Asn". It matches the Rfam family "tRNA". From Rfam's summary of the family: Transfer RNA (tRNA) molecules are approximately 80 nucleotides in length. Their secondary structure includes four short double-helical elements and three loops (D, anti-codon, and T loops). Further hydrogen bonds mediate the characteristic L-shaped molecular structure. tRNAs have two regions of fundamental functional importance: the anti-codon, which is responsible for specific mRNA codon recognition, and the 3' end, to which the tRNAs corresponding amino acid is attached (by aminoacyl-tRNA synthetases). tRNAs cope with the degeneracy of the genetic code in two manners: having more than one tRNA (with a specific anti-codon) for a particular amino acid; and 'wobble' base-pairing, i.e. permitting non-standard base-pairing at the 3rd anti-codon position. The record is from RNAcentral. Lineage: Bacteria; Bacillati; Cyanobacteriota; Cyanophyceae; Nostocales; Nostocaceae.